Molecule: unclassified non-coding RNA, 329 nt
Filed under: soil metagenome
Description: partial contains 5.8S ribosomal RNA, internal transcribed spacer 2, and large subunit ribosomal RNA
Rfam family: 5.8S ribosomal RNA (bases 1-120)
Source: RNAcentral
GAUGAAGAACGCAGCGAAAUGCGAUAAGUAGUGUGAAUUGCAGAAUUCAGUGAAUCAUCGAAUCUUUGAACGCACAUUGCGCCCCUUGGUAUUCCGAGGGGCAUGCCUGUUCGAGCGUCAUUAUAACCCCUCAAGCUCAGCUUGGUGUUGGGGCCUGCUGCACUGGCAGCCCUUAAAAUCAGUGGCGGCGCCAUCUGGCUCUAAGCGUAGUAAUUCUUCUCGCUAUGGAGUCCUGGUGGAUGCUUGCCAUCAACCCCCAAUUUUUCUAUGGUUGACCUCAGAUCAGGUAGGGAUACCCGCUGAACUUAAGCAUAUCAAUAAGCGGAGGA